Molecule: unclassified non-coding RNA, 224 nt
Filed under: Hevea brasiliensis (rubber tree)
Lineage: Eukaryota; Viridiplantae; Streptophyta; Magnoliopsida; Malpighiales; Euphorbiaceae
Source: RNAcentral
GUUAUAAAGUGCAUAUAAUAUAAAUCUUUUGAGAGAUAUGUAUCAUAGUCUUUUCCAACUAAAAUAUACCCACCAAUCAAAAUCCUAUAGAUAAAUAAAAUCUUUCCAAAAUUGAAUGGCAUAAGUAGGAAACAGAGUUCUUUGUCUAGCUGUCAAUGGUAACAACUCGCACUUGAUACAUUGACAUAUAGAGGAAGCAUCACACCAUUUUGCAAAUGUUAUGG